AGAAUUUGAUCCUGGUUCAGAGCGAACGCUGGCGGCGUGCUUAAUACAUGCAAGUCGAGGGAGAAACAGGGGGCAACUCCUGGAGUAAACCGGCGAACGGGUGAGUAAUACAUAGGUAACCUGUCUCGAAGAUCGGGAUAACCCAGGGAAACUUGGGCUAAUACCGAAUAUGAUCACGGCUGCUCCGGCAGUAGUGAUGGAAGGUAGGCCGCAAGGUCUGCCGCUUCGUGAGGGGCCUAUGGCCUAUCAGGUAGAUGGCGGGGUAACGGCCCACCAUGCCUAUGACGGGUAGCCGGCCUGAGAGGGUGAACGGCCACAGGGGCACUGAGACACUGGCCCCACUUCUACGGAAGGCAGCAGUAGGGAAUUUUGGGCAAUGACCGAAAGGUUGACCCAGCGACGCCGCGUGGAGGACGAAGGCCUUCGGGUUGUAAACUCCUGUCAGGGGGGAGGAACGAGCCUGCUGAUCACAUCAGUGGGUUGUGACUUAACCCCCAGAGGAAGCACCGGCUAACUCCGUGCCAGCAGCUGCGGUAAUACGGAGAGUGCAAGCGUUGCUCGGAAUUACUGGGCGUAAAGGGCACGUAGGCGGCCAGGCAAUUCGGGUGUGCAAUCCGGCGGUUUAUCCGCCGAACUGCAUCCGAAACUACAUGGCUAGAGCGCAGGAGGGGUGAGAGGAACUCUAGGUGGAGCGGUGAAAUGCGUAGAUAUCUAGAGGAACGACGGAGGCGAAGGCGUCUCACUGGUCUGCUGCUGACGCUGAGGUGCGAAAGCUAGGGGAGCAAACGGGAUUAGAUACCCCGGUAGUCCUAGCUGUAAACGAUGAUCACUAGGUAGGGGAGAUACUCAUAUCUUCUCUGCCGUAGCUAACGCAUUAAGUGAUCCGCCUGGGGAGUACGGUCGCAAGGCUAAAACUCAAAGGAAUUGACGGGGGCUCGCACAAGCGGUGGAGUAUGUGGAUUAAUUCGAAGCAACGCGCAGAACCUUACCUGGGUUUGACAUGGUUGGAUGGCUUACUGGAAACAGU
RNAcentral lists this ribosomal RNA (1027 nucleotides) under groundwater metagenome. RNAcentral describes it as "bacterial SSU rRNA". It matches the Rfam family "Bacterial small subunit ribosomal RNA", at positions 8 to 1010 of the family's 1533-position model. The record is from RNAcentral.